UCCUGUUUGUACAGGCAGUCUGUCUAGAGUGCCCGGCAUUACCCGGUAGCAACUAAACACAGGGGUUGCGUUCGUUGCGGGACUUAACCCAACACCUCACGGCACGAACUGACGACAGCCAUGCAGCACCUGUGCAGCACCCUCGAAGGCGGUCCGCCUUUCGACGAACUUGCAGCUGCAUGUCAAGCCCUGGUAAGGUUCUUCGCGUUGCGUCGAAUUAAACCACAUGCUCCGCUGCUUGUGCGGGCCCCCGUCAAUUCCUUUGAGUUUUAACCUUGCGGCCGUACUCCCCAGGCGGUCAACUUAAUGCGUUAGCUGCGCCACUAAGAGCUCAAGGCUCCCAACGGCUAGUUGACAUCGUUUACGGCGUGGACUAC
Molecule: unclassified non-coding RNA, 377 nt
Filed under: uncultured bacterium
Lineage: Bacteria
Description: contains 16S-23S intergenic spacer region
Source: RNAcentral